AUGGGUCAUUUUCCUUGGUGUUGUGGGGCUGACCUAGAUUACUUGCUGUCUCAGGCAAAGGACAAGAUUCUUUCCCAUCUCCAUGACUUUAUUCUUCUCCAGACCACCUGCAGUCAUCCAGAGACUUUGAGGGACUCAGGGACAGUCACAGAGUACAAAGCUAUCUACUUUGCUUCCCCCUCCUAGCAUCUGCCGCCUGAAGCAAUGGUACUUCUGUGCUUAAGUGAUGUCAUUCGGCCCUCUUUUAAUUUCGCUUUGGAUUGGAUUAGGAAAGGUAGGCAACAGUGGGCAGCUACAGGGAAGUGUGGUCUAGCCUCUGUACUCUGCAUGGCUGAUUUGUCCCAGAAACCCAUAGGAUUGAAAUACAGCCAGUCCCCAAGUUAGGAACAAGCUAGGUUUUUGUAGGUUUGUUCUUAAGUUGAAUUUGUUUGUAAGCCUGAACAGGAACAUUUUAAAAGUGUAACUCUAGCCAAAAAUACAUAUAUUUUCAGCUUUAGUUAGCAUAAGGAAGGGCUAACAUCCUUGUAGUGUUUGAUUUGCGGUCUGUGCUCCUAUUCAGAUGAUAUAACCUCACUCUUUAUCCCUGUGAUAACUGGAUUUUCAAAAAUGUGGCUUGUGGAAACAAGGAUCGGAGAGAAAGCUUCAGUGAAUACACCUUUUCCCCAUGAUAACUCUUUCAGGAGUAAAUUUCACUUCCGAGGCGUAGAUUUCUCGCACUUCGUGUUAUCUCAUCCUUGUUCUUGACUGUGAGUCAUUUGUAAGUCAGAUGUUUGUAACUUGGGGACUGCCUAUACAUGGCUGACAUGUGUUUAUGAUGUACUUCAUUUGUUUACUGGUUUAAGAAACACCGAAGACUCUGGUAUUUGCCAAUACUCAUUCAGCAGUAGGCUCAGUGACCAGCUCCCCUUAUAUCCAUGUGACUAUACCUAUACAACCUGUGUGCAACUGCUAACAGAGUCACAUUGAGUUCCUGUACAACCUCAGAGACAACUAGUGUAAUAUAGUGAUUUCAGCUUUGGAGUCAGACUCUGGAGACCAGGGUUUGAAUCACUGCUUGGCCACUGAAACCCACUGGGUGAUUUUGAAGAUGUUACUCUCUUAGCCUCAGAGGAACGCAAAGUCAAACCUCUCUGAGCAAAUCUUGCCAAGAAAAUUCCAUGAUAGCCUUGCCUUAGGCUUUCACCAUAAGCCAGAAAUGGCUUGAAGGUGUAUACCAACAGGAAUCUCAGAGGACACCAUUGGAUUGCCUCCAAACCACCAAACCACCAAGAGUUGCAUGUGCCCCAUACUGUACUUUUGCCAGCUAUUUUAAAUUUAUUAUGAAUCUCAUCGGAGAAAAGAUUGGUUUUAUGGUGGUCAAGUGAGUAGGUUUUGGUCUGCAUGCCCCCUUCGUGUACUAACAAAACCACUGAACUUUACCUACUGACCAUCGAAUGUUAUUUGGGGAGGAAUUAGCAAGAGUUACAUUUUGUUAUGACAAAAAUUAUUGAAAAUAUGAUCUUUGCUUCUGCUUCAACUUAAGCUUGACACAAAUAACUGCAACAUCUUGAGGUGAAAGACAGCUCACCUUUAAGGCUGCAUUCAAGCCUAAAAAUCAUGGAUUCAGUCAACUCUACCUAUUCUGGUUGCAUUUCUGUGAAGACCUUAUGGAGCUCAACAAUGUUGAGUUUGGGAUUUUAUCAAAGUGCCAUAAAAUGUUCCUUUAUUGCGGGAGGCUAGGGGAGGGAGCAGAAGAUGUAGUUGCUUACCUGUAACUAUGUUUCUUCGAGUGGUGUUCUGUGGAAUUCGCACUGAUGGGUUUUCCUGUGCCUGCACAGCAAUUGUCGGAACCUUCUAGAACUUAGAAUAAAACAAAAUGGCAGGAGCCCCGCCCACUCUCCCCAGUAUGAUAUAUAAGGCCCUGUGGGCGGGGCUAGUCAGUUCCCCGCCGCCAGGUAGCAACUGAGCCUAGUGGCAUGAUUCCAGAGGGGAGGAUGGGCGGGUUGUGCGAAUUCCACAGAACACCACUCGAAGAAACAUAGUUACAGGUAAGCAACUACAUCUUCUUCUUCGUGGUGCUUCUGUGGAAAUCACACUGAUGGGAGACUAGCAAGCUACUCACUGAAGGAGGAGGGUCAUGCCACGCAUGAGAACAGCACGGCUCUCCCAAAGGCUGCAUCCCUCUUCGCCAAGACGUCCAACUUGUAGUGGGAGGCAAAGGUGAAGGAGGAGGACCACGUGGCUGCUCUGCAGAUGUCGUCGAGCGGUACUCCCUUUAGGAAGGCUUGCGAUGUAGACAAGGCCCUCGUGGAAUGGGCCACCACCUUCUGAGGAAGGUCCCGGCCCGCCAGGGUAUAGGCCGUACGAAUUGCUGCCACAAUCCAUGCGGCUAGGCGUUGAGAAGAAACCGGGUACCCCAACGCAUCUGGUCUAUACUUCAAAAAGAGCCUGGUAGAUUUCCUAUGAGCCUUGGUCCUUUCAAUAUAGUAAGCUAGUGCUCUCCUAACGUCCAGAGAAUGUAACGCUGUUUCUAGUGGUGUGGAGGGAUUUUGGAAAAAGGCCGGCAGAGUGAUAUCCUGGCACAUAUGAAAUCUGGAGACUACUUUCGGUAGGAAAGUUACAUCUGUCCUAAGGACAACCUUAUCCUGAUGAAAUCUCAGAUACGGGGGGUCUGCCCUAAGGACACACAACUCACUAGCUCUUCGCGCGGACGUAACCGCCACCAAGAAAGCAGUCUUCCAUGAUAAAUAAGAGAUGUCACACGAGGUCAUCGGUUCAAACGGUGUUUUAGACAUUUGGGACAAUACCAGCUCCAGGCUCCACGCCGGUGGUGGUGGCGUCACUGGCGGGUGUAGGUUCUUGAAUCCCUUAAGAAAAAGACCAAUUAAAGGGUCCUGAAAGCAGGAUUGGCCAGAGGAGCCUCUACGGUACCAGGAGAUAGCUGCCACGUAGCAUUUAAGAGAGGCCAAACAUAAUCCAUUGUUGGACAGGUGCACCAGGAAAUCCAGGAUUAUGGAUGUAGGGGCUGUAAAUGGGUCCACACCUUUGGAUUGCGCAAAGACUUGGAACUUCUUCCACUUGUAUUCAUAUGAGCAUUUAGUUGAUGCUUUCUGUGCUGCCUCGAGAAUAGCCCUCACUGGGCCUGAGAGAUUGAGCAUGGUCUGAUCCUCCAGCCGGUCAGAUUCAGCAUUGCUAUGUCUGGGUGG
This 3185-nucleotide long non-coding RNA is filed under the name Anolis carolinensis (green anole). RNAcentral's name for it is "lncRNA (ENSACAG00000040861.1)". The record is from RNAcentral. Lineage: Eukaryota; Metazoa; Chordata; Lepidosauria; Squamata; Anolidae.